ACUCUUGUCGAUAGACCUUAUGGUGCUUGUCGAUAGACCAUGAAGAAAGCAGCUAGCUGCAACGAUUAGUGUGAUUUGUAGAACACAUUGGUCAUCGAUCACCUUGAAGCCCCGGGUUCCUCCUGAGGCUAUCACCUUUCUGAAGGUCUCUUGAAUGUCAAUUGCCCCAGGCCCUCCCUAGGGUGAAACUGGGAUGUCUCAAGGACCCCUUUCCCUUUGUCCACCUAAGGUCAGACCCCAAUCAGCACCGUCGCUGGAUCCAUUAACCUAAUGCAGAACGAGUUGCCGACACCUCCUGGCCUCACCGUUUCCCCACUCGUGGGGUCAAGAUAGCCAGGCGCACAGCAUGCACCUGAUGGUGUUGGUGGCAUAAUCACCCCACUGCAAAUUCCCCUACCACGGGGCAGCUGGCUGUGCCAUGUGUGGCUGUUUGUGGUUUGUGGUGUUCCACAGCUACACAGAGGUGCAGGCCUCACAACCAUGUCUAUCAGACAACCUCUCCCAGGCGUUUUCAGCGCAGAUGAGAAACUGUGCCAGAGAAACCAUGCUGGGGCAGCUCGCUACCAGCCCAGGCCCGAGGCUAGCCGCCCAAGAUUUAGCCCAACGACUUCAUCCUCAGAUCAAACAUGGUGACUCACUGAAUUGAAGUACCUCACUAAGCAGAGGUAAAGUAAUUAACCAGGAUUCCCUCAGUAAGGACAAAUGAAGAAAUCAGCACUGAAUCCAUGUCCAGCAGUAGGUGCAGACAAUAUGGCAUACAGAAGACCAACUCCCCAGCAUUGCUCAGGGGGCCCAUGUCCUUCUGUUUGGGUCCCACCGUGUGGAUGUUGUUAUGCAGAUAGAGGCACCCGGCACCCCAGGAUUGAGUCUUCUCUGGAAUGCAGUGCAAAGCAGGUUGAAGACUACAUCUAAGGCUAUGUAUGGCCACGAGACCGAUAGCCAAUAAGUACCAUAAGGGAAAGAUGGCAAUGAAGCAUCAGGCGCAUACCAAGCCACUGCUGGUACAGAAAGCCGCAGGGGUUAAAACAUGACAAGUAGGAGGGCUGUUGCACUGUGCACGUUAGUUCAAAGCAAGUGCCCGGGUGGAGCCACCAAAGGUGCAGAUCUUGGUGGAAGUAGCAAAUGUUAAAACAAGAACUUUGAAGGUCGUAGUGGAGGAAGGUGCCAUGUGAAAAGUUGUUGAACAUGGGUCAGUCAUUCCUAAGAGAUGGGCAAGCACCAAUCAGAAGGGACAGACAAUGGCCUCCAUUGCCCUCAGCCAAUCCAAAGGGAGUUGGGUUCAGAUCACUGAACCAGUGUGGUUUAGACAGGCACCCUUGCUGCAUAUAUUGCAGUAACACAAACAUUCCUGGAGAAUCCAUCAUGCGCUCUAGGGAGACAUAUUUUUUCUUUGUGAGGGGCAUGGCACUCUGGAAGGGGUUUGCCCGAGCCUUAGAUUGCAUCAUAGUUCGGGUGGCGUAUGAUGAGCUCUCGCUGGUCCUUGUUAAUCCAGGGGAGAAUUUGUAAAUCUUGCACAGGCCCAUACUCAUAUCUGCAGCAUGGCUCUGGCAUGUUAGAACAAUGUAGGUAAGUCGGCAAGUCAGAUCUGUAACUUCAGUAUGAGAAUUGGCUCUAAGGGUUGGGUGGGUUAGGCUAUUGCAUGUAGUGGGGCUGGCCGCGCACCACGGCUGGACAAGACAUUUCUAUUUACUAGGGUCUCCACCAACUGUGGACGCAGGUUGGACCCUUCCUGUGGAUUACCCCAGCUGGGGUGGUGGCCCCUGUCUGUUCCCCUCGCAGGGUUCUGUGUCGGCAUUCUGCCCCAGCCGAUGGCUAGCAAAUGACUUAGAACUGGUGCGGACCAAGGUAAUCGAACAGUUUCAUUGAAACAGGGCAUCACAAAGUCCUGCAGUGGGUAUUGACACAAUGUGAUUUCUGCCCAGUGCUCUGAAUGUCAAAGUGCAGAAAGUCAAUGUAGCGCAGGUAGACGGCAGGAGUAACUUUGACUCUCUUAAGGAGGCCAAAUUCUUUGCCAGCUCAUUGGUGGCACACAUGAAUGGAUGAACGGGAUUCCCACUGUCCCUACCUGCUAUCAAGUAAACCACAGCCUAGGGAAUGCGCUUGGCUGAAUCAGCAGCGAUAGGAGGCCCUGUUGAGCUUGACUGUGAGGGAACAUGAGAGGUGUAGAAUAGGAGGGAGGCACUCAGACCAGCAGUGAAAUACCGCUACUACAGUUAUCAUUUUUUCACUUACCCAGUGAGGCGGGGAGGGGGCAAGCCCCAUUGGGCUGUCAUGUCUAGCUCGAACCACCUGGCUCCAGCCAGGCAUGGCCCAUUCUGGGGACAUUGGCAAGUGGGGGGCUUGACUGGGGCAGUACACCUUUCCUACAAUAACACAGGUGUCCUAAGGCAAGCUCAGGGAGGACACACACCUGCCACUGAGACGAAGCACAAAAGCAUGCUGGAUCUCGAUUUUACGUAUGUAGAUAUACUGUGUAAGCAGGGCCUCGAGUUCCUUCUGACUUUUUAUGUUUCCAGCAGGUGUCUUACAAUUACCACAGUGAUAACUGUCUUGUGGCGGCAAAGCAUUCAUAGGGACUUUCCAUUUUUAUCCUUCCAUGUCAGCUCUUCAUAUCAUUGCGAAGCAGAAUUCAGCAAAUGUUAGAUUGUUCACCUACUAAUAGGGAACCUGAGCUGGAUGUAUUCCAUAAUGUGACAGAUUAGUUCUACCCUACUGGUAAUUUGUUGUUACAAUAAUAGUGCUUAGAGGAACCACAUCGUAAGACAUUUGAUGUAUUUGCUUGGCUUAGGAGCCAAUGGGGUGAAGCAAAGUGGCGUCUCAGUUACCCUAACAUAGCCAGCCUCUGGGCUGCUGCAUCGUGCUACUGGCCCCA
Molecule: ribosomal RNA, 2872 nt
Filed under: Ambystoma mexicanum (axolotl)
Lineage: Eukaryota; Metazoa; Chordata; Amphibia; Caudata; Ambystomatidae
Description: eukaryotic LSU rRNA
Rfam family: Eukaryotic large subunit ribosomal RNA (bases 611-2872)
Source: RNAcentral